UACGUAGGGUGCAAGCGUUGUCCGGAAUUAUUGGGCGUAAAGAGCUUGUAGGCGGUUUGUCGCGUCUGCUGUGAAAUUUCGGGGCUCAACCCCGAACUUGCAGUGGGUACGGGCAGACUAGAGUGUGGUAGGGGAGACUGGAAUUCCUGGUGUAGCGGUGAAAUGCGCAGAUAUCAGGAGGAACACCGAUGGCGAAGGCAGGUCUCCGGGCCACUACUGACGCUGAGAAGCGAAAGCAUGGGGAGCGAACAGG
RNAcentral lists this ribosomal RNA (253 nucleotides) under uncultured bacterium. RNAcentral describes it as "partial 16S ribosomal RNA". It matches the Rfam family "Bacterial small subunit ribosomal RNA", at positions 524 to 776 of the family's 1533-position model. The record is from RNAcentral.